AUAUACAAAGGGAACCCCAUUAGGCUAACAGCAGAUCUCUCAGCUGAAAUCCUACAAGCCAGAAGGGAUUUGGGGACUAUAUUUAACAUUAUGAAAGAAAAUCUCCAACCAAGUAUUUCAUAUCCAGCUAAACUAAGCUUCCUAAGUGAAGGAGAAAUGAGAUCAUUUACAGACAAGCAAAUUCUGAGCACUCCUCACAAUAGCAAAGACAUGGAAUCAACCCAAAUUUCCAUCAAUGAUAGAUUGGAUAAAGAAAAUGUGAUACAUAUACACCAUGGAAUACUAUGCAGCCAUAAAAAGGAAUGAGAUCAUGUCUUUUGCAGGGACAUGGAUGACGCUGGAAGCCAUAAACUUCAGCUAAUUAACACAGGAACAGGAAACCAAACACCACAUGUUCUCAUAAGUGGGAACCGAACAAUGAGAACACAUGGACACAGGGAGGGGAAGAACACACACUGGAGCCUUUUGGGAAGUUUCUCCACAGACACUACCCAAAGCAGUCCUUCACUACAGUGGCAGACAGACCUGAAAAUUUUCAUCUGAAGCAGCAGAGUGAACUGCAGAGUCAGGUCACCAACCAGUGUGGAGGCUAACAGCAGGCCUCUUUGGGGAUUCCAGGUGGAAGUGUUGGACAUCUGUAGUAUUCCUGGUCUCGAAUCAUCCUGAUAUUCUUCAUUUUGUUAUUCACAUUGGACUAGG
RNAcentral lists this long non-coding RNA (699 nucleotides) under Pongo abelii (Sumatran orangutan). RNAcentral's name for it is "lincRNA". The record is from RNAcentral. Lineage: Eukaryota; Metazoa; Chordata; Mammalia; Primates; Hominidae.